This 298-nucleotide long non-coding RNA is filed under the name Nicotiana benthamiana. Its description in RNAcentral is "long non-coding RNA (NBEN_LNC025485)". The record is from RNAcentral. Lineage: Eukaryota; Viridiplantae; Streptophyta; Magnoliopsida; Solanales; Solanaceae.
CCUAGUCUUAGCUCCAUCUACAUGUCCUUGAUUACUCUGAUGUAGGCUUCCGGCACGCUCUUCGCCUCCAAGCACCUCCAUAGCACCUCCCUUGGGAUCUUGUCAUACGCCUUCUCCAAGUCGAUAAGCACCAUGUGUGGGUCCUUCUUCUUAUCCCUGAACUACUCCACCAACCUCCUGACAAGGUGGAUCGCUUUUGUAGUGGAGGGACCCGGCAUGAACCGAACUGGUUCACAGAUAUAGAAGUCAUCUCCCUCACCCUCGCCUCGAUCACCCGCUCCCAUACCUUCAUGGUGUG